GCGCGAAACCUCUGCAAUAGGCGAAAGCUUGACAGGGUUAUUCUGAGUGAUCUCCGAUAAGGAGAUCUUUUGGCAUCUCUAAAAAUGAUGCAGAAUAAGGGGUGGGCAAGUCUGGUGUCAGCCGCCGCGGUAAUACCAGCACCCCGAGUGGUCGGGACGAUUAUUGGGCCUAAAGCAUCCGUAGCCGGUUCUGCAAGUCUUCCGUUAAAUCCAGCUGCUUAACAGAUGGGCUGCGGGGGAUACUACAGAGCUAGGAGGCGGGAGAGGCAAGCGGUACUCAGUGGGUAGGGGUAAAAUCCGUUGAUCCAUUGAAGACCACCAGUGGCGAAGGCGGCUUGCCAGAACGCACUCGACGGUGAGGGAUGAAAGCUGGGGGAGCAAACCGG
This 386-nucleotide ribosomal RNA is filed under the name uncultured bacterium. RNAcentral describes it as "bacterial SSU rRNA". It matches the Rfam family "Archaeal small subunit ribosomal RNA", at positions 339 to 727 of the family's 1478-position model. The record is from RNAcentral.